Molecule: long non-coding RNA, 1229 nt
Organism: Carassius gibelio (silver crucian carp)
Lineage: Eukaryota; Metazoa; Chordata; Actinopteri; Cypriniformes; Cyprinidae
Exons: 3
Source: RefSeq, a predicted model, not a curated record
UGUGUCAGUCGAGACGCGAUGUACGGCUACAGAGAAGAUCUUUAUCGCGUUUAAUGGACUCCGCUGCUUCCGUCAGAACAAGAAACAAGAAACUCGGUUCUGAGAAGAGCACGAGAAGUUCUGCGCAUGCGCAUGUCUGACAGCGGAACCCACCUGCCUUUAGAGGCUGCAUGCGCGAUGAAGCUGAGGAGAGGAACUCGCUGCUCUUCGCUUUAACCUACAUUAUUUACGGAUCCUGCCGCUAUCAAGCCACUAACCCGGAAUUCAGUUCAUUACGAAUGCAUGCCGCCUCAAACCGCCCGAAAAAACACAGCUGUUUGGAUUCUCAUUCUGACGGCACCCAUUCACUGCUGAAGAUUCAUUGGGUGUGGCCCAAGAGCUCCAUGACAUCACAGUCCCAGCGCUGAAAAAGCAUCUGGUCACUGAAGCACUGAAGGGGAACUCAAUCCAUGGCCUCACGAACACGUGCAGCCACUGACACUGACAUCAGACACAGCAGCGCCAGUGUCCAUGACAGCCUGCUGAGCUCCAGGCAGCUUCCAAAGCCCAAAUCCAUCACCACUCACUCAUUUCAUUUCACAGAAUUAUCCCCCAAUCAUCCAUAUUGAUCUCAAGCCAGGGAAACUAAUCGAACGAAACCUCAUGUGCAUAAACAGUUUAUCUAAAAACUUUACAAAAUACAUAUUUUGGUUUGCUGUCUCAUAUGCUUCAGAUUUAAAACCUCAGCACUGAGAUCUCAUCAAAAAGCACUAUACUGUUUCCAUGUGACGCUUGAAUUAGACUUACACACAGUCUUUGCAUCCACCGGCAAGAACUCAAGCUGGGUGAGCAUUGCUAACAUACAAGUGCUGUUUAUCACAGUGUUAUCUCAUCAGAAGCAUCAUGUACAGAUCUUCCUGCUGCUGUGCCCUCACUAAACACCAUGCAUUAUGCACAGCAUUCAUCAUUCAUGAGCUGUGAAUAGUGCAUUAGUCACUGAUUAACAAUUGACCAUCAGUAAAGUUAUUUUCCACAUUCUUCUGCUCCUCCCGAGGGCAGAGAGCACAGGCGGCCGACAAAUUAGGAUGUAAAUAAUCUCCAUCCACCGAAAGCAACUGUCUGGCUGAAGCAGCGGUCGGAGGAGAGCUAAUCUACACAACUAACAGAGCUCAGGAUCUGUUUUCACAAACCAAGUGAUGCUUGUUUAAAUAAAUCGGCAGAGUUACGUAUGUGACCCUGUUCUGUGGACA